GUGACAUACCACUUGUUGCCUCGGCGGAUCAGCCCGCUCCCGGUAAAACGGGACGGCCCGCCAGAGGACCCCUAAACUCUGUUUCUAUAUGUAACUUCUGAGUAAAACCAUAAAUAAAUCAAAACUUUCAACAACGGAUCUCUUGGUUCUGGCAUCGAUGAAGAACGCAGCAAAAUGCGAUAAGUAAUGUGAAUUGCAGAAUUCAGUGAAUCAUCGAAUCUUUGAACGCACAUUGCGCCCGCCAGUAUUCUGGCGGGCAUGCCUGUUCGAGCGUCAUUUCAACCCUCAAGCACAGCUUGGUGUUGGGACUCGCGUUAAUUCGCGUUCCUCAAAUUGAUUGGCGGUCACGUCGAGCUUCCAUAGCGUAGUAGUAAAACCCUCGUUACUGGUAAUCGUCGCGGCCACGCCGUUAAACCCCAACUUCUGAAUGUUGACCUCGGAUCAGGUAGGAAUACCCGCUGAACUUAAGCAUAUCAAA
This 478-nucleotide ribosomal RNA is filed under the name Fusarium oxysporum. RNAcentral's name for it is "eukaryotic LSU rRNA". The stretch from base 123 to 276 matches the Rfam family "5.8S ribosomal RNA". The record is from RNAcentral. Lineage: Eukaryota; Fungi; Ascomycota; Sordariomycetes; Hypocreales; Nectriaceae.